RNAcentral lists this ribosomal RNA (492 nucleotides) under uncultured bacterium. RNAcentral describes it as "partial 16S ribosomal RNA". It matches the Rfam family "Bacterial small subunit ribosomal RNA", at positions 29 to 507 of the family's 1533-position model. The record is from RNAcentral.
AGUGAACGCUGGCGGUAGGCCUAACACAUGCAAGUCGAACGGCAGCACAGUAAGAGCUUGCUCUUACGGGUGGCGAGUGGCGGACGGGUGAGGAAUACAUCGGAAUCUACUUUUUCGUGGGGGAUAACGUAGGGAAACUUACGCUAAUACCGCAUACGACCUACGGGUGAAAGCAGGGGGUCUUCGGACCUUGCGCGAUUGAAUGAGCCGAUGUCGGAUUAGCUAGUUGGCGGGGUAAAGGCCCACCCAGGCGACGAUACGUAGCUGGUCUGAGAGGAGGGUCGGCCACACUGGAAGUGGGACAGCCACCAUACGCCUACGAGACGGAGCAGUGUGGUACGUGAGGCAGCAGUCGGGAACCUUGCCCAGCGGGCGCGAGUCGGAUGAAGAGACGUUCCGUUUGUAAAGACCGUUUGUUGGGUAAAAAAAGCAUCCAGUUAGGACCCCGCGAAAGUGACGGUACCCAAAGAAUAAGCACCGGCUAACUACGUG